This 253-nucleotide ribosomal RNA is filed under the name uncultured Oscillospira sp. Its description in RNAcentral is "partial 16S ribosomal RNA". It matches the Rfam family "Bacterial small subunit ribosomal RNA", at positions 524 to 776 of the family's 1533-position model. Lineage: Bacteria; Bacillati; Bacillota; Clostridia; Eubacteriales; Oscillospiraceae. The record is from RNAcentral.
UACGUAGGUGGCGAGCGUUAUCCGGAUUUACUGGGUGUAAAGGGCGUGUAGGCGGGAGAGCAAGUCAGAUGUGAAAACUACAGGCUUAACCUGUAGCCUGCAUUUGAAACUGUUCUUCUUGAGUGAUGGAGAGGCAGGCGGAAUUCCUAGUGUAGCGGUGGAAUGCGUAGAUAUAUGGAAGAACACCAGUGGCGAAGGCGGCUCUCUGGUCUGUAACUGACGCUGAGGCUCGAAAGCAUGGGUAGCGAACAGG